GUUAUAAUCCAUUUAUUACCUGUUAACCAACUUUUGAGCAUAGAUCUGAAAAUGAAAUUUCCUUUAUAAUAUUACGUCAAAGUCACAU
This is a long non-coding RNA of Sinocyclocheilus grahami, 88 nucleotides long. RefSeq lists it as uncharacterized. The transcript has 3 exons. Lineage: Eukaryota; Metazoa; Chordata; Actinopteri; Cypriniformes; Cyprinidae. The record is from RefSeq and is a predicted model, not a curated record.